RNAcentral lists this unclassified non-coding RNA (373 nucleotides) under fungal sp. Its description in RNAcentral is "partial internal transcribed spacer region". The stretch from base 1 to 46 matches the Rfam family "Eukaryotic small subunit ribosomal RNA", at positions 1786 to 1831 of the family's 1831-position model. Lineage: Eukaryota; Fungi. The record is from RNAcentral.
AAGUCGUAACAAGGUUUCCGUAGGUGAACCUGCGGAAGGAUCAUUAACACGUAUCCAAACGUUAAAACCCCCCCCGUGAACCUUCAUCCUGCUCUUGUAACCCGCGAAGCUUGCAAUCUCUGAUAAACAUUGGAACAGUUACAAUCGAGCGGUAGUUGUAUAGGCAAUAUUUCCCCAAGCAGUCAGUGUCGGAAAGUGUCAUUGAUUGUGCAACGAUAGCGCUUCUACGAUUCCUGUAGACCGUACACUCGGGCAGGAGCUUUGCCAGAGGGUCCCCAUGCCCCCUAAUAACCCCACAGUUUAAUGUGAAGCUCAGUGUAAUACAUUGGGUAAAAAAACCGAACAACUGUUAACAAUGGAUAUCUUGGUUCUC